AGUGAACGCUGGCGGUAGGCCUAACACAUGCAAGUCGAACGGCAGCACAGUAAGAGCUUGCUCUUACGGGUGGCGAGUGGCGGACGGGUGAGGAAUACAUCGGAAUCUACUUUUUCGUGGGGGAUAACGUAGGGAAACUUACGCUAAUACCGCAUACGACCUACGGGUGAAAGCAGGGGAUCUUCGGACCUUGCGCGAUUGAAUGAGCCGAUGUCGGAUUAGCUAGUUGGCGGGGCAAAGGCCCACCAAGGCGACGAUCCGUAGCUGGUCUGAGAGGGUGAUCAGCCACACUGGAACUGAGACACGGUCCAGACUCCUACGGGAGGCAGCAGUGGGGAAUAUUGGACAAUGGGCGCAAGCCUGAUCCAGCCAUACCGCGUGGGUGAAGAAGGCCUUCGGGUUGUAAAGCCCUUUUGUUGGGAAAGAAGAGCAGCAGGUUAAUACCCCGCUGUUCUGACGGUACCCAAAGAAUAAGCACCGGCUAACUUCGUG
Molecule: ribosomal RNA, 492 nt
Filed under: uncultured bacterium
Lineage: Bacteria
Description: partial 16S ribosomal RNA
Rfam family: Bacterial small subunit ribosomal RNA
Source: RNAcentral